This is a transfer RNA of Ipomoea nil (Japanese morning glory), 69 nucleotides long. It matches the Rfam family "tRNA". Rfam says of the family: Transfer RNA (tRNA) molecules are approximately 80 nucleotides in length. Their secondary structure includes four short double-helical elements and three loops (D, anti-codon, and T loops). NCBI's taxonomy places the organism in Eukaryota, Viridiplantae, Streptophyta, Magnoliopsida, Solanales, Convolvulaceae. The record is from Rfam.
GUCGUUGUAGUAUAGUGGUGAGUAUCCCCUGUCACGCGGGAGACCCGGGUUCGAUCCCCGGCAACGGCG